RNAcentral lists this long non-coding RNA (299 nucleotides) under Hordeum vulgare. RNAcentral's name for it is "long non-coding RNA (HVUL_LNC003952)". Lineage: Eukaryota; Viridiplantae; Streptophyta; Magnoliopsida; Poales; Poaceae. The record is from RNAcentral.
CCUCUUUCUUCUCCUUUUUCCUCUUCCUUCCUUUCAUUUUCCUCUUUUUCACUUCUUGUCCCCUUCUUCGGGCUAAAUUGGCUAAGAAUGCCUUUUUGGAGCUAAUUAUGUCAUUUCAAAGAUAAUUAGCUAAGUAUAGGUCAUUUUUUAUUAAAUAGGCCAUUUUGGAGCUAACUAAGUAAUUAUGUCAUUUCGUAGGAUAAUUAGCCAAUUUAGACUUUGUUGGAUAAUUCUAAGCUACGUAGAAGAAGAGAUAGAGAAGAAGAAGUAAAAUAAGGAGGAGGAGGAGGAGGACAAGA